Molecule: ribosomal RNA, 443 nt
Filed under: uncultured bacterium
Lineage: Bacteria
Description: partial 16S ribosomal RNA
Rfam family: Bacterial small subunit ribosomal RNA
Source: RNAcentral
CCUACGGGAGGCAGCAGUGGGGAAUAUUGGGCAAUGGGCGCAAGCCUGACCCAGCCACGCCGCGUGAAGGAAGAAGGCUUUCGGGUUGUAAACUUCUUUUCUCAGGGACGAAGAAAGUGACGGUACCUGAGGAAUAAGCCACGGCUAACUACGUGCCAGCAGCCGCGGUAAUACGUAGGUGGCAAUCGUUCUCCGGAUUUACUGGGUGUAAAGGGGGAGUAGGCGGGACUGCAAGUCAGAUGUGAAAACCACGGGCUCAACCUGUGGCCUGCAUUUGAAACUGUAGUUCUUGUGUACUGGAGAGGCAGGCGGAAUGCCUGGUGUAGCGGUGAAAUGCGUAGAUAUUAGGAGGAACACCGGUGGCGAAGGCGGUCUGCUGGACAGCAACUGACGCUGAGGCGCGAAAGCGUGGGGAGCAAACAGGAUUAGAUACCCGUGUAGUC